RNAcentral lists this ribosomal RNA (485 nucleotides) under uncultured Actinomycetes bacterium. RNAcentral's name for it is "bacterial SSU rRNA". It matches the Rfam family "Bacterial small subunit ribosomal RNA", at positions 934 to 1420 of the family's 1533-position model. Lineage: Bacteria; Bacillati; Actinomycetota; Actinomycetes. The record is from RNAcentral.
GGAGCAUGCGGCUUAAUUCGAUGCAACGCGAAGAACCUUACCUAGGCUUGACAUAUAGAGAAAUCCCACAGAGAUGUGGAGUCCGUAAGGGCUCUAUACAGGUGGUGCAUGGUUGUCGUCAGCUCGUGUCGUGAGAUGUUGGGUUAAGUCCCUCAACGAGCGCAACCCUCGUUCUAUGUUGCCAGCGCGUAAUGGCGGGGACUCAUAGGAGACUGCCGGGGUCAACUCGGAGGAAGGUGGGGAUGACGUCAAAUCAUCAUGCCCCUUAUGCCUAGGGCUGCACGCAUGCUACAAUGGCCGAUACAAAGGGCUGCGAUACCGCAAGGUGGAGCGAAUCCCAUAAAGUCGGUCUCAGUUCGGAUUGGGGUCUGCAACUCGACCCCAUGAAGUUGGAGUUGCUAGUAAUCGCAGAUCAGCAACGCUGCGGUGAAUACGUUCCCGGGCCUUGUACACACCGCCCGUCACGUCACGAAAGUCGGUACACC